Molecule: non-coding RNA, 136 nt
Organism: Caenorhabditis elegans
Lineage: Eukaryota; Metazoa; Nematoda; Chromadorea; Rhabditida; Rhabditidae
Source: Ensembl
AAACACCUUGCUGUGCGUCUUCUAUCUUUCCUACUUGUUACCUUGAAACACCCAAAUUCACUUACUAGCCCUUACUGGCCCUCAGAUUGACCGAUCUUAUCGCACUUUUUGUUAUUUCCUUCUGUUUAGCAUUCAA